CCCUGCCAUUUGUACACACCGCCCGUCGCUCCUACCGAUUGGAUGUGCUGGUGAAGCCCUAGGACUGGCGGCCUUUGGUGGUUCUCCGCCGACGGUCGCCGGGAAUUCGGUUAAACCCUCCCAUCUAG
This 128-nucleotide ribosomal RNA is filed under the name uncultured eukaryote. RNAcentral describes it as "partial small subunit ribosomal RNA". It matches the Rfam family "Eukaryotic small subunit ribosomal RNA", at positions 1651 to 1776 of the family's 1831-position model. The record is from RNAcentral.